Molecule: ribosomal RNA, 253 nt
Filed under: uncultured bacterium
Lineage: Bacteria
Description: partial 16S ribosomal RNA
Rfam family: Bacterial small subunit ribosomal RNA
Source: RNAcentral
GACGGAGGAUGCAAGUGUUAUCCGGAAUCACUGGGCGUAAAGCGUCUGUAGGUGGUUCGAAAAGUCCACUGUUAAAAAUUGAAGCUUAACUUCAAAGAUGCCGUGGAAACUUUCAAACUAGAGUGUGGUAGGGGUAGAGGGAAUUCCUGGUGUAGCGGUGGAAUGCGCAGAUAUCAGGAGGAACACCAAUAGCGAAGGCAGCUCGCUGGGACGUUACUGACACUGAGGCGCGAAAGCGUGGGGAGCGAACAGG